AACGAACGCUGGCGGCAGGCCUAACACAUGCAAGUCGAGCGAGCAUUUCGGUGCUAGCGGCGGACGGGUGAGUAACGCGUGGGAACGUGCCCUUUUCUGCGGAAUAGUCCUGGGAAACUGGGGGUAAUACCGCAUACGCCCUUUUGGGGAAAGAUUUAUCGGAGAAGGAUCGGCCCGCGUUGGAUUAGGUAGUUGGUGGGGUAAUGGCCCACCAAGCCGACGAUCCAUAGCUGGUUUGAGAGGAUGAUCAGCCACACUGGGACUGAGACACGGCCCAGACUCCUACUGGAGGCAGCAGUGGGGAAUCUUAGACAAUGGGGGCAACCCUGAUCUAGCCAUGCCGCGUGAGUGAUGAAGGCCUUAGGGUUGUAAAGCUCUUUCAGCUGGGAAGAUAAUGACGGUACCAGCAGAAGAAGCCCCGGCUAACUCCGUG
Molecule: ribosomal RNA, 433 nt
Filed under: uncultured bacterium
Lineage: Bacteria
Description: partial 16S ribosomal RNA
Rfam family: Bacterial small subunit ribosomal RNA
Source: RNAcentral